AUGGAAACACCUCACAUUUAGUUUUUAUUAUAGCAAAUAGCAUUUGACCAUGCACAACAAAAUAUUUUCCAAACCUUCAUAUGUUCUACAAAUUUAUAAUCAGAUCUUGGUCUCAUUUUUUUCACAUAAAGUAAGUGCCAACUAAUGGCCAGCCAAGCAAAUUACACUUGUCCCUAGUACAGCCUACAAAAGACACAAGUGGAGGCAUGCAUGCAAGCCUAAACACGCAUGCAUGCCAGAUGUAAUGCAUCUCCAAACCGACAUAGCUACUAACCCAUCUACAAAUAGGAGCCGUUCCUUUCACUAUGGUUCAUUCCACCUCACACACACAUACACUGGAGUACCCCCACCACUUUCCUUUUCACCUUCUGCCACACUUCUGUCCUUCACUGCGGUGAAGCCCUUUGGGUUGCAUGCUCCACCAGGUACUAAUCAAGUACCUUGUUGUGUUACCCUUUUUGCUUGACUUCUUAUCUAUCUUCAUCUCGGUUUGAAUCAGCCCAUGAACAUCUAUUCACCUUGAUCUAUUUACCUUGUUGUAAAAAGAACAAAAUGUUUGCGUAAACACCCAAGUUAAUCAAAACUAAUUAGAUCAAUUGCAAAAGCUUGUAAAAGUUUCUGUGAAUGACAUCUACGGCUGGUACUAGAUCUAACAUGCCAAGAAUCAAAUCCUAAGUACUAGUAACUUGCUAAGACAUGUAUGUGUGUAUCCAAAAGAUCAAUAUUCAUGUGUAUACUACCUUGUUCUAAUUAUUAAUCCCCGCCAAUCUGUAGAAAACAUUGAGUGAUUGAUGUUUAUAAUCUACUCACAAGUAAUUAAUUUUGGAGUUUCACUGCCACUAUUUGCUUUUAUAUGGUGUUCAAGGAUGAGUAGCACUAGUUAGGAACAGCAUUUAGAUCUAAUCAGCAGCAAUACCAUGACCACGCCAUAGAUUAAAUCUUGAUUAAUUUCGUGGCAUUCAGAUAAACAAAGAGAAAGAAGGCAAUAUGGCUGAGUGAGCAAUAGUAGGGCCUGAGAUAGAAUGAACAAUAUAUGCACACCCACGUUGACAUCUAGCAAGCACUUGAUGUAAAAUUUGGAACACUUGAUGGAGAAGGAAUCAGAAUUAGUACUUACCAGUAGUAGUAGUAGGAUGUGGCUAGUCCACACGUUAGCAGCAGAGCCAUGCGACCGAGCAGCGCCGGUGAAGCCGCACACGCCCGACGCCCGUGGCUGCAUGCCUCGUGUGUGUGGCUGCGCUGGGGGAGGAUGUAGGCAUGGAGACGUUGUUGCCACUCCAGCCGAUGGCAAGCCCACCGGACCUGAAUCAGGUGGCGCUAGGAUUGAGUGGUGGCGAUGUUUUUGGCGGCGGCGGAUAAAAUAAAUAGGAGGAAAUGGUAGAGGGAGACGAGGAGAAUCUGUAGGUGUCCACGGUGCCGCCGGAGAUGCCCGGAUGGGGCAGAUCGAGGCAGCGGCGGCCAAGCUCUGUUCUUGCGGAGAGAGAGAGGUGGGUGGCUGGUUCUGUUCUUGGGAUAGAAGAGAAGACGAGGAGAGAAACAAGCUGGGUUCAACGAGUAAAAUACAAGUAGUGCAGUACUAGGCUACUGUUUCCUUUUUACUUAUCUUUUUUUACUCUCUGGACUGGAUGGCAUACGUGCAUGCUAUUCUGAUUUGGAUGGCUUGAUGCAUUUUAUCUCUCAAUGAAACACUAGGACGUAUGACAACCUAGUUAAUUAAUUAUGGCUUGCCCAACAUGGCCGUGUUGCUGGAUCUUUAGAUUUUAAAUUAGGAAAUAUAAACAUGUUUGUGAAAUAAUUAUCAGGAGCCGAUCUCGGAUCCAUAGGAGCCACGCCCGGUGGUUUCCAGUUGGUCGAAGCACUAUCCGACAAGUCGUCAUCUCCUUGAACAUGUCUUGAUAAAUGUUCUCCGGGCUAUGGGUCAGUUCGAAAAUUUUGCAUAAGAAUUAAAAAUAAAUAUUUUCCAUAAAUAAAAUGAAAUUUUGAUCAGGUGGAUCCACUGAUUUGGCAAUUUGACCAGAUCAGGUGAAGCAUCUGUAUUAAGUAGUUGCGACCCGGGUAGGGUUACAAUAUAAAUAAAUAUUUGGUGGGUAGGGGAGCUCAUGUUGGUGAAAGCAACCCAGGGAGGGUCAGCUUGGAUGGUUGUAGGAUCGAAAGUAUGUCUAGAGGGGGGUGAUUAGACUACUUGACCAAAUUAAAACUUAUCCUUUUCCCAAUUUUAUUCUUUGGCAGAUUUUAGCUAACUUAGCACAUCAAGCAAUCUCAACACAAUUCAAGCAAGCAUGCAAAGAGUAUAUGAGCAGCGGAAAGUAAAGCAUGCAACUUGCAAGAAUGUAAAGGGAAGGGUUUGGAGAAUUCAAACGCAAUUGGAGACACGGAUGUUUUUGUCGUGGUUCCGAUAGGUGGUGCUAUCGUACAUCCACGUUGAUGGAGACUUCAACCCACGAAGGUAAUGGUUGCGCGAGUCCACGGAGGGCUCCACCCACGAAGGGUCCACGAAGAAGCAACCUUGUCUAUCCCACCAUGACCGUCGCCCAUGAAGGACUUGCUUCACUAGCGGUAGAUCUUCAUGAAGUAGGCGAUCUCCUUGCCCUUACAAACUCAUUGGUUCAACUCCACAAUCUUGUCGGAGGCUCCCAAGUGACACCUAGCCAAUCUAGGAGACACCACUCUCCAAGAAGUAACAAAUGGUGUGUUGAUGAUGAACUCCUUGCUCUUGUGCUUCAAAUGAUAGUCUGCCCAACACUCAACUCUCUCUCACAGGAUUUGAAUUUGGUGGAAAGAAGAUUUGAGUGGAAAGCAACUUGGGGAAGGCUAGAGAUCAAGAUUCAUAUGGUAGGAAUGGAAUAUCUUGGCCUCAACACAAGUGUAGGUGGUUCUCUCUUAGAAAAUGCAAGUUGGAAGUGUAGGUUCGUUCUGAUGGCUCUCUCCUCGAAUGAAGAGGAGGUGGAGGGGUAUAUAUAGCCUCCACACAAAAUCUAGCCGUUACACACAACAUGCCAAUAUCGGUGGGACCGAAUUGAGAAACUCGGUCGGACCGAUUCAGCAAAUCUAGUGACCGUUAGGAUUUUUGGUGGGACCGACAUGCAACUCAGUAGGACCGAUAUGGUUAUGGUUAGGGCAUAACAUAAUCUCGGUGAGACCGAUUACAAAAACUCGGUAGGACUGAUUUUGGUAAUAAGCUAACCAGAGGGUUGGUCAGGUAAACUCGGUGGGACCGGUUCGGUCAUUUCAGUGAGACCGAAAUGUUACGAAGAGGAAACAGAGAGUUUGCAUUGCAAUCUCGGUGGGACCGAUCGCUCAUCUCGGUGGUACCGAAAUGUUACGAAGGGAAACAGAGAGAUUACAAUCCCAUCUUGGUGAGACUGAGAUCCCUAUCGGUGAGACCGAUUUUCCUAGGGUUUGUGGCAGUGGCUAUGACAAGUGAACUCGGUGGCGCCGGAUAGAAAGAAUCGGUGGGGCCGAGUUUGACUUUUGCUUUAGGUCAUAUGUGGAUGUGAGAAAGUAGUUGAGGGCUUCGGAGCAUAUCACUAAGUAUUUUGAGCAAGUAACCCAUUAAGCAACACCUCAUCCCUCCUUGAUAGUAUUGGCUUUUCCUAUAGACUCAAUGUGAUCUUGGAUCACUAAAAUAUAAAAUGUAGAGUCUUGAGCUUUGAGCUUGAGCCAAUCCUUUUGUCCUUGCAUUUUGAGGGGUCCACUUUUUUCAUUCAUGCCAUGCCAAUCAUUGAGCUUUUCUGAAAUAUUCAUCUUGAAAUAGCAUUAGCUCAAUGAGCUAUAUGUUGUUAGGAAUUACCAAAACCACCUAGGGAUAGUUGCAUUUUGGCGGUCUCCUCUACAUAGGGUAUCACAUUAGGACACAACCAACUGGCGCUUACUUCAAAAGCGGUGCAAACCAUACUGACCACAGACCUGGAAUGGGACAGGCUGAACCAACUACCCAUACCAAGUAGCUACCUCUGCAUGGGUGAGAAGCUGUAGCCGGGUAGGUACAGUCACCAUAGGGCGGGAUCGCCGGUCAGGGGUCUCAACCCGCGGGCCUUUAGUAAGGCAAGGUGGAAAAGCAGAGGUAGUGUACAGGCUGGUUAAAGGUUCUGGUUCCUUGGUCUAGUCGUGUGCACGGGUAGCGCAUGGACGACUUAGACCAAGUGAUGCUAUGGGCAAAGCAGUACACCUCUGAUCAGAGUAAAUGUGAUAUCACUCCCAGCUUCCGGGUUUGGAAGUGCGUCGUGUGGGUUUUCCUCUAACACAGGAUUUAAGAUCCCACGUCGCUCUAUCACCGGUAGAUUUUAUAAAUAAAUUUGGUUUUCAACAAAAUGUGUUAAGGGAAAAUAUUUUUACCUACAAAGUAUUUUGAGCUAAUGGCUCGGUGGUUGUAGCCGUGGACGAUAAAGUUUUUCUUCUUUAAAGACUCAUGCAUCCACUUUUCCCGGCGACUUGCGGAGUACGUAUUUUAUACGUACUCAAUUGCACUUAUGUUGUUUUUCAGAACAAGAGAGUUAUGAGAACUCUAAGGCGAUAGACACUGGUACUUAUGAUGAGUCUGGUCAUCUUAAUGACUUCGGUUAUUCUGAAUUGGAGUAUGUUUAUGAGGAAGUCGACAAUCAAGGCUAUGAAGAGUAGAUGCCCUCCAUGGUUGGUCUAGAAGGCUCGUAACUAGAAGUGGAUGACGAUGUAUCGUCAUGGUCGCUUAGGCUUAGUCGACACUUGAGGUGUCAAUGUAAUAAAAGCUUGCCUACUCAUGGCAGCUGCACCGUAUUGUACAUGAUAUUGUUCUCC
This 4773-nucleotide long non-coding RNA is filed under the name Triticum aestivum (bread wheat). Its description in RNAcentral is "long non-coding RNA (TAES_LNC003150)". The record is from RNAcentral. Lineage: Eukaryota; Viridiplantae; Streptophyta; Magnoliopsida; Poales; Poaceae.